GACGAACGCUGGCGGCGUGCUUAACACAUGCAAGUCGAACGAAAAGAGGGAAAGAGCUUGCUCUUUCCGGAAUUGAGUGGCAAGCGGGUGAGUAACACGUAAACAACCUGCCUUCAGGAUGGGGACAACAGACGGAAACGACUGCUAAUACCGAAUAAGUUCCAAGGGCCGCAUGGCCCAUGGAAGAAAAGGUGGCCUCUACCUGUAAGCUAUCGCCUGAAGAGGGGUUUGCGUCUGAUUAGCUGGUUGGAGGGGUAACGGCCCACCAAGGCGACGAUCAGUAGCCGGUCUGAGAGGAUGAACGGCCACACUGGAAUUGAGACACGGUCCAGACUCCUACGGGAGGCAGCAGUGGGGAAUCUUCCGCAAUGGGCGAAAGCCUGACGGAGCAACGCCGCGUGAGUGAUGACGGCCUUCGGGUUGUAAAACUCUGUGAUCCGGGACGAAAAGGCAGAGUGCGAAGAACAAACUGCAUUGACGGUACCGGAAAAGCAAGCCACGGCUAACUACGUG
This 513-nucleotide ribosomal RNA is filed under the name uncultured bacterium. RNAcentral describes it as "partial 16S ribosomal RNA". It matches the Rfam family "Bacterial small subunit ribosomal RNA", at positions 28 to 507 of the family's 1533-position model. The record is from RNAcentral.